GCCCAGGACACCAAAGCUGGAGCUUCUCUGUUUCUUGCUGACUGCUGCCUCCUCAGACCUUUGUGGGGCUGUGACCUGGAAGUCCCCCACUUGAUCAGCACUGUCACGGACACCUCGACACCUCAGAAAUGAAUCAAAAUGAAAAGGCCCCUCCUACAAUCCUAGCAGGCUCCAGUUGAUGAGGAAGUGUGGUACCAACUGACCAUUACCCUGGGAGCAGCAAACCAUCAGUACUCAGCCUGACAUUUCCUGCUUCAGCAAGCAUCCGAAGCUCGGUGCUGUGCCCAGAUCUUGCUAAUUUGCCCAGCCUGGCCUCAAACCUGCCAUCCUCCUGCCUCGGCUUCUGGAGUAGCUGGGAUUACAGCUGAGAUGCUCCUUGUCGUCGUUGUUGUUGUCAGGCCAGGAAGGCUGCCCGUGGUCCCCUGGCCCAGUGGAGGAGCAGAGCCCUUUACUCCAAGCCUGACAAGCCCCUGCGCUGAGCCUGCACUGGGGUUCUGCCUCAUUCACUGCUGUGCCUCAAGUCUAGACAGUGCCUGACACAAAAGAGGCUCACAUUGGUUGCUCAAUCGUGGAACUCAAAUGAUCUCCCUUUCCUCAGGA
Heterocephalus glaber (naked mole-rat) is the source of this 600-nucleotide non-coding RNA. NCBI's taxonomy places the organism in Eukaryota, Metazoa, Chordata, Mammalia, Rodentia, Bathyergidae. The record is from RefSeq and is a predicted model, not a curated record.